RNAcentral lists this long non-coding RNA (811 nucleotides) under Agrilus planipennis (emerald ash borer). RNAcentral describes it as "uncharacterized LOC108736995, transcript variant X3". The record is from RNAcentral. Lineage: Eukaryota; Metazoa; Arthropoda; Insecta; Coleoptera; Buprestidae.
UUGAAAUGAGAAGACAUUCAAAUACCUUGCAAGAUUCAACCACAUAAUUACUAACCCUUGGACCACAUCAAGGACAUCAGAACGCGCUUUAGUCGAGAAUCAUCCACUGGAGGAACAUAAACCAUCAUCAUAAGUUCAUCAUCAACCCUUGGACCCCACUACAAGGACAUCAGGACGCGUUUCAAUCGAGAAUCAUCCACUGGAGGAACAUAAACCAUCUUCAUAAGUUCAUCAACCCUUGGACCCCACUACAAGGACAUCAGGACGCGUUUUAAUCAAGGGACAUCUCUCAUCGUGGGAGAUCAUCGUCGCGGACAACGGGGGACCAUUUCUAACGGGUGCGAAUAGCUCCCAACGGUGAGGGUCAUCUUCCGAUGGCUGGAACCGUCUUUCAAUGGUAAGAAGUCCCUUUCAACAGCCAAGAUCGUCCCUCGCAGGUAAGACUUGUCCCUUUGCGGACAGGAACACCUUCAAGUGGUUUGAGGGUGAUCCCGUCUGCGGGAGGGUGGUACUUGUACCACAUCUUCCGCAGAUGUGAUCAUUUUUAAACAACUUGAAGGUGAUUUCUGUUAGCAAAGGUAUAAGUCAACCCUCCGAAGGGGGAUCGCAGUUGUUGUAAGGUACUUCUAACCACUUGGAAGAUAGUUCCUGGUCAUUGAAAGGUGGCACUUACCACUUGGGGGCUAUACAAUCCCGCUAAAAAUGGUCCCGCGCGCGGACAGGGGACCCGCGUCCCCCACCGGCGUUGAAUUACAAAAACCUUCGAUGUAGGGAUGCACCAUUCGAAAAAUAAAAAAAUUGUCUUUUUUUA